RNAcentral lists this ribosomal RNA (253 nucleotides) under uncultured bacterium. Its description in RNAcentral is "partial 16S ribosomal RNA". It matches the Rfam family "Bacterial small subunit ribosomal RNA", at positions 524 to 776 of the family's 1533-position model. The record is from RNAcentral.
UACGUAGGGUGCAAGCGUUGUCCGGAAUUAUUGGGCGUAAAGAGCUCGUAGGCGGUCUGUCACGUCGGCUGUGAAAACCCGGGGCUCAACCCCGGGCCUGCAGUCGAUACGGGCAGACUAGAGUGCGGUAGGGGAGACUGGAAUUCCUGGUGUAGCGGUGAAAUGCGCAGAUAUCAGGAGGAACACCGGUGGCGAAGGCGGCACUCUGGGCCGGUACUGACGCUGAGGAGCGAAAGCGUGGGGAGCGAACAGG